RNAcentral lists this ribosomal RNA (424 nucleotides) under uncultured bacterium. RNAcentral describes it as "bacterial SSU rRNA". It matches the Rfam family "Bacterial small subunit ribosomal RNA", at positions 354 to 796 of the family's 1533-position model. The record is from RNAcentral.
GUGGGGAAUAUUGCACAAUGGAGGAAACUCUGAUGCAGCGACGCCGCGUGAACGAUGAAGGCUUUCGAGUCGUAAAGUUCUGUCCUAGGGGACGAUAAUGACGGUACCCUAGGAGGAAGCCCCGGCUAACUACGUGCCAGCAGCCGCGGUAAUACGUAGGGGGCAAGCGUUGUCCGGAUUUAUUGGGCGUAAAGGGUUCGCAGGCGGCCUUUUAAGUCAGGUGUGAAAGACUACAGCUCAACUGUGGUAAGCACUUGAAACUGGAAGGCUUGAGUUAAGGAGAGGAAAGUGGAAUUCCUAGUGUAGCGGUGAAAUGCGUAGAUAUUAGGAGGAAUACCAGUGGCGAAGGCGACUUUCUGGACUUAUACUGACGCUGAGGAACGAAAGCGUGGGGAGCAAACAGGAUUAGAAACCCUAGUAGUCC